RNAcentral lists this transfer RNA (76 nucleotides) under Escherichia coli. RNAcentral's name for it is "tRNA-Met". It matches the Rfam family "tRNA". Rfam says of the family: Transfer RNA (tRNA) molecules are approximately 80 nucleotides in length. Their secondary structure includes four short double-helical elements and three loops (D, anti-codon, and T loops). Lineage: Bacteria; Pseudomonadati; Pseudomonadota; Gammaproteobacteria; Enterobacterales; Enterobacteriaceae. The record is from RNAcentral.
GGCCCUUUAGCUCAGUGGUUAGAGCAGGCGACUCAUAAUCGCUUGGUCGUUGGUUCAAACCCAACAGGGGGCACCA